ACUGCUGACACCUUAGCAUGCCGGCAGAACCAUGGCUCCUGCUCUUUUAUUGCAUGCCCUGCUCCUUCCGUUGACAUUGGAACCUGCCGUGAUGGGAAGCUGAAAUGCUGCAGAUGGAGACCCAGCUCCUAAAUCUGAGACCUCACCGACCACAUGGAUAAGAGCCCUGGGAAUCUCCUGCCUUAUGACAUCACAGGAUCUUUGAACUUUGAUGCAAACCCAAGGAGCCUUUCCCAAUGGAGUGAAGAGUCCCGGGAGCACGAGAAGAUCUGAGGAGGAAUUCUUGUACCUCAGAUAGAGAUUUGCAGCUUCAUUUCUAAUAAAAACAAUUCCAAGUGAAACCACA
This is a long non-coding RNA of Lagopus muta (rock ptarmigan), 346 nucleotides long. RefSeq lists it as uncharacterized. NCBI's taxonomy places the organism in Eukaryota, Metazoa, Chordata, Aves, Galliformes, Phasianidae. The transcript is spliced from 2 exons. The record is from RefSeq and is a predicted model, not a curated record.